AAGUCAGCCUGCCCCAAGAGAAAGUAGACAGAAUUCUUUCAUACAUCAACAUCUUCACAUCAUACAUCUUUCACCAGGAAACAGCUACAGUCACUACGCGGGUCACUUAAUUUUGCGAUGAGGAUAAUUCCACAGGGGAGGUAAUUCAUUUCCAGAAUUCUCUUUCUUACACGGUCUCCCUGACGACGACUCCACAGCUCUCCUAGACGCACCAGCUAGAGCAGAUCUUAAAAUGUGGCAUCCAUUUCUGUCCUCUUGGAAUGGCAGGUCGCUAUUCGCUACCCCCAUUUCUGACGAUUCCCCGGACGCAUCAGGUGUCAUAGGUUACGCAGCAAUUUUUGGUAAUGACUGGGUGUACAACUCUUGGCCAGUAGAGACUACCUCGCUAGAGAAUUUCAAAACCACCUCCGCAUUAUUCGAAAUCUUUCCAAUCGUAGCUGCUGCACACAUUUGAGGUGAAGAAUGGAAAGGGCAAUCGGUC
Molecule: non-coding RNA, 481 nt
Organism: Pelobates cultripes (western spadefoot toad)
Lineage: Eukaryota; Metazoa; Chordata; Amphibia; Anura; Pelobatidae
Source: the annotation of a GenBank genome assembly